RNAcentral lists this ribosomal RNA (459 nucleotides) under uncultured bacterium. RNAcentral's name for it is "partial 16S ribosomal RNA". It matches the Rfam family "Bacterial small subunit ribosomal RNA", at positions 338 to 795 of the family's 1533-position model. The record is from RNAcentral.
CCUACGGGCGGCAGCAGUGAGGAAUAUUGGUCAAUGGUCGGGAGACUGAACCAGCCAAGCCGCGUGCGGGAGGAAGGUACAGAGUAUCGUAAACCUCUUUUGUCAGUGAACAAAGGCGGGGACGUGUCCCCGGAUGAGUGUACCUGAAGAAAAAGCAUCGGCUAACUCCGUGCCAGCAGCCGCGGUAAUACGGAGGAUGCGAUCGUUAUCCGGAUUGAUUGGGUUUAAGGGGUGCGAAGGCGGUCUGUUAAGUCAGCGGUAAACGCCCGGGGCUCAACCCCGGACCGCCGUUGAAACUGGCAGUCUCGAGUGGGAGAGAAGUAUGCGGAAUGCGCGGUGUAGCGGUGAAAUGCAUAGAUAUCGCGCAGAACUCCGAUUGCGAAGGCAGCAUGCCGGCUCCACACUGACGCUGAGGCACGAAAGCGUGGGUAUCGAACAGGAUUAGAUACCCGUGUAGUC